UACGUAGGGGGCAAGCGUUGUUCGGAUUUAUUGGGCGUAAAGGGCAUGUAGGCUGUUAUCUAAGUGUGGGUUUAAAGGCAGAAGCUUAACUUCUUGUUUGGUCUGCAAACUGGAUAACUAGAGUGCAGGAGGGGAAACUGGAAUUCCGCGUGUAGGGGUGAAAUCUGUAGAGAUGCGGAAGAAUACCUGUGGCGAAAGCGAGUUUCUGGCCUGCUACUGACGCUGAUAUGCGAAAGUGUGGGGAG
This 245-nucleotide ribosomal RNA is filed under the name uncultured bacterium. RNAcentral describes it as "partial 16S ribosomal RNA". It matches the Rfam family "Bacterial small subunit ribosomal RNA", at positions 524 to 768 of the family's 1533-position model. The record is from RNAcentral.